GGGUUGUGAGGUUAAGCGACUAAGCGUACACGGUGGAUGCCCUGGCAGUCAGAGGCGAUGAAGGACGUGCUAAUCUGCGAUAAGCGUCGGUGAGGUGAUAUGAACCGUUAUAACCGGCGAUUUCCGAAUGGGGAAACCCAGUGUGUUUCGACACACUAUCAUUAACUGAAUCCAUAGGUUAAUGAGGCGAACCGGGGGAACUGAAACAUCUAAGUACCCCGAGGAAAAGAAAUCAACCGAGAUUCCCCCAGUAGCGGCGAGCGAACGGGGAGGAGCCCAGAGCCUGAAUCAGUGUGUGUGUUAGUGGAAGCGUCUGGAAAGGCGCGCGAUACAGGGUGACAGCCCCGUACACAAAAUGCACAUAUUGUGAGCUCGAUGAGUAGGGCGGGACACGUGGUAUCCUGUCUGAAUAUGGGGGACCAUCCUCCAAGGCUAAAUACUCCUGACUGACCGAUAGUGAACCAGUACCGUGAGGGAAAGGCGAAAAGAACCCCGGCGAGGGGAGUGAAAAAGAACCUGAAACCGUGUACGUACAAGCAGUGGGAGCCUCUUAAUGGGGUGACUGCGUACCUUUUGUAUAAUGGGUCAGCGACUUAUAUUCUGUAGCAAGGUUAACCGAAUAGGGGAGCCGAAGGGAAACCGAGUCUUAACUGGGCGUUAAGUUGCAGGGUAUAGACCCGAAACCCGGUGAUCUAGCCAUGGGCAGGUUGAAGGUUGGGUAACACUAACUGGAGGACCGAACCGACUAAUGUUGAAAAAUUAGCGGAUGACUUGUGGCUGGGGGUGAAAGGCCAAUCAAACCGGGAGAUAGCUGGUUCUCCCCGAAAGCUAUUUAGGUAGCGCCUCGUGAAUUCAUCUCCGGGGGUAGAGCACUGUUUCGGCAAGGGGGUCAUCCCGACUUACCAACCCGAUGCAAACUGCGAAUACCGGAGAAUGUUAUCACGGGAGACACACGGCGGGUGCUAACGUCCGUCGUGAAGAGGGAAACAACCCAGACCGCCAGCUAAGGUCCCAAAGUCAUGGUUAAGUGGGAAACGAUGUGGGAAGGCCCAGACAGCCAGGAUGUUGGCUUAGAAGCAGCCAUCAUUUAAAGAAAGCGUAAUAGCUCACUGGUCGAGUCGGCCUGCGCGGAAGAUGUAACGGGGCUAAACCAUGCACCGAAGCUGCGGCAGCGACACUAUGUGUUGUUGGGUAGGGGAGCGUUCUGUAAGCCUGUGAAGGUGGCCUGUGAGGGUUGCUGGAGGUAUCAGAAGUGCGAAUGCUGACAUAAGUAACGAUAAAGCGGGUGAAAAGCCCGCUCGCCGGAAGACCAAGGGUUCCUGUCCAACGUUAAUCGGGGCAGGGUGAGUCGACCCCUAAGGCGAGGCCGAAAGGCGUAGUCGAUGGGAAACAGGUUAAUAUUCCUGUACUUGGUGUUACUGCGAAGGGGGACGGAGAAGGCUAUGUUGGCCGGGCGACGGUUGUCCCGGUUUAAGCGUGUAGGCUGGUUUUCCAGGCAAAUCCGGAAAAUCAAGGCUGAGGCGUGAUGACGAGGCACUACGGUGCUGAAGCGACAAAUGCCCUGCUUCCAGGAAAAGCCUCUAAGCAUCAGGUAACAUCAAAUCGUACCCCAAACCGACACAGGUGGUCAGGUAGAGAAUACCAAGGCGCUUGAGAGAACUCGGGUGAAGGAACUAGGCAAAAUGGUGCCGUAACUUCGGGAGAAGGCACGCUGAUAUGUAGGUGAAGCGACUUGCUCGUGGAGCUGAAAUCAGUCGAAGAUACCAGCUGGCUGCAACUGUUUAUUAAAAACACAGCACUGUGCAAACACGAAAGUGGACGUAUACGGUGUGACGCCUGCCCGGUGCCGGAAGGUUAAUUGAUGGGGUUAGCGGUAACGCGAAGCUCUUGAUCGAAGCCCCGGUAAACGGCGGCCGUAACUAUAACGGUCCUAAGGUAGCGAAAUUCCUUGUCGGGUAAGUUCCGACCUGCACGAAUGGCGUAAUGAUGGCCAGGCUGUCUCCACCCGAGACUCAGUGAAAUUGAACUCGCUGUGAAGAUGCAGUGUACCCGCGGCAAGACGGAAAGACCCCGUGAACCUUUACUAUAGCUUGACACUGAACAUUGAGCCUUGAUGUGUAGGAUAGGUGGGAGGCUUUGAAGUGUGGACGCCAGUCUGCAUGGAGCCGACCUUGAAAUACCACCCUUUAAUGUUUGAUGUUCUAACGUGGGCCCCUUACCGGGGUUGCGGACAGUGUCUGGUGGGUAGUUUGACUGGGGCGGUCUCCUCCUAAAGAGUAACGGAGGAGCACGAAGGUUGGCUAAUCCUGGUCGGACAUCAGGAGGUUAGUGCAAUGGCAUAAGCCAGCUUGACUGCGAGCGUGACGGCGCGAGCAGGUGCGAAAGCAGGUCAUAGUGAUCCGGUGGUUCUGAAUGGAAGGGCCAUCGCUCAACGGAUAAAAGGUACUCCGGGGAUAACAGGCUGAUACCGCCCAAGAGUUCAUAUCGACGGCGGUGUUUGGCACCUCGAUGUCGGCUCAUCACAUCCUGGGGCUGAAGUAGGUCCCAAGGGUAUGGCUGUUCGCCAUUUAAAGUGGUACGCGAGCUGGGUUUAGAACGUCGUGAGACAGUUCGGUCCCUAUCUGCCGUGGGCGCUGGAGAACUGAGGGGGGCUGCUCCUAGUACGAGAGGACCGGAGUGGACGCAUCACUGGUGUUCGGGUUGUCAUGCCAAUGGCACUGCCCGGUAGCUAAAUGCGGAAGAGAUAAGUGCUGAAAGCAUCUAAGCACGAAACUUGCCCCGAGAUGAGUUCUCCCUGACUCCUUGAGAGUCCUGAAGGAACGUUGAAGACGACGACGUUGAUAGGCCGGGUGUGUAAGCGCAGCGAUGCGUUGAGCUAACCGGUACUAAUGAACCGUGAGGCUUAACCUUACAACGCCGAAG
This 2922-nucleotide ribosomal RNA is filed under the name Escherichia coli. Its description in RNAcentral is "bacterial LSU rRNA". It matches the Rfam family "Bacterial large subunit ribosomal RNA". The record is from RNAcentral. Lineage: Bacteria; Pseudomonadati; Pseudomonadota; Gammaproteobacteria; Enterobacterales; Enterobacteriaceae.